GACGAACGCUGGCGGCGUGCUUAACACAUGCAAGUCGAACGGAAAGGCCCUGCUUUUGUGGGGUGCUCGAGUGGCGAACGGGUGAGUAACACGUGAGUAACCUGCCCUUGACUUUGGGAUAACUUCAGGAAACUGGGGCUAAUACCGGAUAGGAGCUCCUGCUGCAUGGUGGGGGUUGGAAAGUUUCGGCGGUUGGGGAUGGACUCGCGGCUUAUCAGCUUGUUGGUGGGGUAGUGGCUUACCAAGGCUUUGACGGGUAGCCGGCCUGAGAGGGUGACCGGCCACAUUGGGACUGAGAUACGGCCCAGACUCCUACGGGAGGCAGCAGUGGGGAAUAUUGCACAAUGGGCGGAAGCCUGAUGCAGCAACGCCGCGUGCGGGAUGACGGCCUUCGGGUUGUAAACCGCUUUCGCCUGUGACGAAGCGUGAGUGACGGUAAUGGGUAAAGAAGCACCGGCUAACUACGUGCCAGCAGCCGCGGUGAUACGUAGGGUGCGAGCGUUGUCCGGAUUUAUUGGGCGUAAAGGGCUCGUAGGUGGUUGAUCGCGUCGGAAGUGUAAUCUUGGGGCUUAACCCUGAGCGUGCUUUCGAUACGGGUUGACUUGAGGAAGGUAGGGGAGAAUGGAAUUCCUGGUGGAGCGGUGGAAUGCGCAGAUAUCAGGAGGAACACCAGUGGCGAAGGCGGUUCUCUGGGCCUUUCCUGACGCUGAGGAGCGAAAGCGUGGGGAGCGAACAGGCUUAGAUACCCUGGUAGUCCACGCUGUAAACGGUGGGUACUAGGUGUGGGGUCCAUUCCACGGGUUCCGUGCCGUAGCUAACGCUUUAAGUACCCCGCCUGGGGAGUACGGCCGCAAGGCUAAAACUCAAAGGAAUUGACGGGGCCCCGCACAAGCGGCGGAGCAUGCGGAUUAAUUCGAUGCAACGCGUAGAACCUUACCUGGGUUUGACAUGGAUCGGGAGCGCUCAGAGAUGGGUGUGCCUCUUUUGGGGUCGGUUCACAGGUGGUGCAUGGCUGUCGUCAGCUCGUGUCGUGAGAUGUUGGGUUAAGUCCCGCAACGAGCGCAACCCCUGUUCACUGUUGCCAGCACGUUAUGGUGGGGACUCAGUGGAGACCGCCGGGGUCAACUCGGAGGAAGGUGGGGAUGACGUCAAGUCAUCAUGCCCCUUAUGUCCAGGGCUUCACGCAUGCUACAAUGGCUGGUACAGAGAGUGGCGAGCCUGUGAGGGUGAGCGAAUCUCGGAAAGCCGGUCUCAGUUCGGAUUGGGGUCUGCAACUCGACCUCAUGAAGUCGGAGUCGCUAGUAAUCGCAGAUCAGCAACGCUGCGGUGAAUACGUUCCCGGG
Molecule: ribosomal RNA, 1343 nt
Filed under: uncultured bacterium
Lineage: Bacteria
Description: 16S ribosomal RNA
Rfam family: Bacterial small subunit ribosomal RNA
Source: RNAcentral